AGUUGUCAAGGAACUAUUUUUCUUGCCGUCGUCCCAGAGAUGCCUUUGGAAAAGCGGAAGGGCACGGAGGGUUCUGGAGUUCGUUGCUGGCACCUGCGUGGUGUCAUGAGAACGUGGCGGGGCGAUUCACACUACAAGGAAUACUAAAGGACGUUCUCCACAUUGAAGGAAAAUGAUCUAAAGAGAAACAGAUCUGUAAGAAGAAAUGAAGAGCACUGGUAAAGGUAAAUGUAAAAUUAUUUAAGACUAAACUAUAUGUUUAAGUCAACAAUAGUUGUGAUAAUUAUAACAUAAUAAAAGUAAAAUUACAUAACAAUGGCAUAAUGGGGGGCAUGGAAUUACCUAGCUUCACCUUCUGCAAUGUGUGGAAACAGACUGAGGUCCUCACCAGAAGCAAAUGCUAGCACCAUGCUUCUUGGAGACCCUGCAGAACUGUGAGUCAAAUAAACCUUUUUCUUUAUAAAUUACCCAGCCUCAGAUAUUCCUUCACAGCAACACAAAAGGACUAAGACAUUAUUGUAAGGUUUUAGACAUUUUACACAUUGUAUAAGAUGUGGUGAAAUACUAAUUCAAAGCACAGACAGUCCCUGAUUACAGUGGUUUGACUUACAGUUUUUCAACUUUACAAUGUGUUCAUUGGGAUGAUUAAAUGCAUUUUCAACUUAACAAUAUUUUCGGCUUACAAUGGGCGUAUCGGGACAUAACCCCAUCAUAAGUUGAGGAACAUCUGUAGAUUAUAAUAAAUUAAACAUGCACAUAGCGAUCUAGAAUAACUAUUAAAAGAAAAUGCAAACAUAGGUAUAAC
Molecule: long non-coding RNA, 805 nt
Filed under: Homo sapiens (human)
Lineage: Eukaryota; Metazoa; Chordata; Mammalia; Primates; Hominidae
Description: HSALNT0386395
Source: RNAcentral